This 791-nucleotide ribosomal RNA is filed under the name uncultured fungus. RNAcentral describes it as "eukaryotic LSU rRNA". The stretch from base 1 to 241 matches the Rfam family "Eukaryotic small subunit ribosomal RNA", at positions 1593 to 1831 of the family's 1831-position model. Lineage: Eukaryota; Fungi. The record is from RNAcentral.
UUGCUCUUCAACGAGGAAUCCCUAGUAAGCGCAAGUCAUCAGCUUGCGUUGAUUACGUCCCUGCCCUUUGUACACACCGCCCGUCGCUACUACCGAUUGAAUGGCUCAGUGAGGCUUUCGGACUGGCCCAGAGAGGUGGGCAACUACCACUCAGGGCCGGAAAGUUAUCCAAACUCGGUCAUUUAGAGGAAGUAAAAGUCGUAACAAGGUCUCCGUUGGUGAACCAGCGGAGGGAUCAUUACUGAGUUACCGCUCAUCAACCCUUUGUGAACAUACCUUAACUGUUGCUUCGGCGGGUAGGCGUCCCCUAAAAAGGACGUCUCCCGGCCCUCUCCCGUCCGCGGGUGGGGCGCCCGCCGGAGGAUAACCAAACUCUGAUUUAACGACGUUUCUUCUGAGUGACACAAGCAAAUAAUCAAAACUUUUAACAACGGAUCUCUUGGUUCUGGCAUCGAUGAAGAACGCAGCGAAAUGCGAUAAGUAAUGUGAAUUGCAGAAUUCAGUGAAUCAUCGAAUCUUUGAACGCACAUUGCGCCCGCCAGCAUUCUGGCGGGCAUGCCUGUUCGAGCGUCAUUUCAACCCUCAAGCUCUGCUUGGUGUUGGGGCUCUACGGUUGACGUAGGCCCUUAAAGGUAGUGGCGGACCCUCUCGGAGCCUCCUUUGCGUAGUAACAUUUCGUCUCGCAUUGGGAUUCGGAGGGACUCUAGCCGUAAAACCCCCAAUUUUACUAAGGUUGACCUCGGAUCAGGUAGGAAUACCCGCUGAACUUAAGCAUAUCAAUAAGCGGAGGA